UAGCAAGAUAGGAGUCAUUUAGACACGU
This 28-nucleotide non-coding RNA is filed under the name Rattus norvegicus (Norway rat). The record is from RNAcentral. Lineage: Eukaryota; Metazoa; Chordata; Mammalia; Rodentia; Muridae.